Non-coding RNA from Equus caballus (horse), 3723 nucleotides. The record is from RefSeq and is a predicted model, not a curated record. NCBI's taxonomy places the organism in Eukaryota, Metazoa, Chordata, Mammalia, Perissodactyla, Equidae.
CCUCCUGGGGGCGGGGAUGGGAGGAAGCAGUGGGUGUGUGUGUCCACACAUGUGGACUCGAUAGGGUCUGGUGUAGAGGCAGCUGGGGCACAGAAGAUGGGGAAAACAACCAGGAUGUGUGAGGAUGGACUGUUGGCUCCCGUAAUAUUAGGUCCACAUCUGUUCCUGUUCCAUAUCUGCAGUGCCUAUGCCCUCACGUCCCCCAGCCCUCCUAGCGUGGAGGGCAGCAUGAGGGAGAAAGAAACCCUGUAUUCUCACCCUUCUGGAGGAGAGAGUAUAAAGGAGGGCCAGCGCUGAACCCUGAGGGUCAUGCACAAUAGGGGUAUUUCAGGCUCUGCGGCAGCUAAUGGGGAGAUGUUCGUGGGCUAUAGGAGAUCCCAGCUCUCCUUCUCCUGGUCUCAGUUUCCCAAAUCUUUACAAUGGGGUAAAUGUAUGCUCAACAUGGUCAAAUUACAGAAACGGGGCCCACUGUAAACUCAGAAGUGCUUUGGGCGCUAUAAAGUGCAGUAUAUCCAUGAGAGACCAAUUCUCCACUAGGAAUGAGGGCUUUUGGGAAGGAAGUCUUUGUAAUUGGGGUGCUGACCACAUAUGCCCAAGGCCACUGGGGAGGAUGGUGGGUGCUCAAGUUUGUGCCUGGUCACCAAGGAUGACCCAGGGUCAACUAGUAGUAUAGCCCUCUGGCUUUGGCAUCUCUGCUGUGUCCACUUCUCCAGGAGUUGUCACCUUUUCUGGGAUUGCACCCCUCUCCCCCUGCUUCCCCACAGCACUACACACACUCCCAGCACAACCUGAAGGACCAGCUCCUCCUUCACCAGCCUUGUGUGCUUGGCAGGGCCCACAUUCACUUGAAAGGACUCACCCUUCUCCCAUGGAACAAGGCUUAUCCUGGUUCAGGCCUCCCAGCCACCUGACCUUAUAGCUGAUCCAGGCAGUGUGAGCCCAUGGUUCCCUGGCUGGGAGAAGUCUGAGGGGUGGGCGUGGGGGGUGGGGGUGGGGGGGCCUCUGCCUCUAUCUCUCCUGCCUUGGCAGUGAGCCCAGGGGAGCCUAGGCCUGAACCUAAAGUCCCACAGCAAACGGGUCAGAGAAGCUGACCUUGCCCCUCCCACUCUUUCCUGGACCUGGUUCCCAGCCAUGCCAAAAUCCUGAGCACUGCCCACCUCUCCUUGGCAGCAAACCCGUCCCACGCGCCCAAGGCUGACAGAUGGAGGCUUUCUUUAAAUUGAAGGCUUAUGGGGAGGUGGAGAGUGGGAGCUGACAGCCCCUCCGCAGGGAGCUCCGUCUCCUACUCCCCCCACCCCUUCUGCCUGCUGACAGCUGUUCAGUUUCCAUCUCACCCACGUGGACCUGGCGAUGACCAGCUCUCUUUGCCUCAGAUUCAAGCCCUUUUGAGCAGUUGUACAUUGGAGGAAAGAAGGCCCCACAGGCAAAAUGGAGAAUCAGGGUGCGCAGGCCUGAUGUGCUUGCUGCCCCUUGGCAGACUGCAGACCCCCGCAGGGCCUUCCCGUCUCAAACUGGAAGGGAAGCUCCACCUACACACCCAGCAGGAGAGAAUGCUGUCAUCCCAGGAACGUGAGUCUUAGUUUCAUCAGAGAGAAUCACGGGAUUCCAGAAUAGAAUCCUAAAUCCAGCAGCUCGUGACAUUCUAGCCAGGAAUCUUAGAAUCACAGCAAAGACUCCCCGGAGAGAAGCCAGGUCAGGAAGAACAUUCUAGAAUCCCAGGACUAGAAGACCCUUGUGGGAUGCCCCAGGCUUGUCUUGUCUGCGCAGCACUGAUAAUCACUCUCCUGUUCCCUUCUGUGGGCAUGCAGAACCCUACUGACCUUCUCACAGCCACCCUUUUCAGGUUUCUCUAGUUCUGUCUUCAACCUUUGUUGUUCUCAUGAAAACCUGCCUGUUUCUCCAAUCCUCCCACAGGGAACAGACCUCAUAACCACUGUCCCAUGGAUGCUGUGCCCUCCCCCUGCCAUGGCAAUGUGCUCCCAAACCCUUGAGGAGGAGGGGUGCGUGUCAGUUUCCUCAUCUGUAAAACAGGGACAAUUUUGUGGGGACUGUGUGGAUGAAAUGAGAUGACACAUGGAAACCCUUUAGCAUAUGCCUGGCAUAGAAACUGCAGACAUUAUUACUGGGGCGUACUGAGUCCUGAAUAUGGCUGUCUUGUUGGCAGACUGGGGGCUGCCCCAGGGCAUUCAUUUACUGUGCAUUUAUUGUGCCCUUUUUCUAUGCCAGGCACAUGGUGUACACAAGAUACAGGUUAUCUACUGUCUUCUCGAGCAAUCUGGCUUAGCAGCAGAUACAUACGUGGGGCAGAUCAUCUGCUGGAGGAAGAACUGGUGGAGGAAGGGAUGGGGAUGAUCCUGCACUGGAAGCCUAGCUUUCAGUUCUGACCUAGACACAAAGUUCUUGUGGCACCUAAGAUCAAACCCAGAUACCUGCGAGCAGAGCUUAAAGUCACCCUCCUCCAGGAAGCCCUAGCUUCCACUCCUCCCUGUACCCAGAACACAGGUAUUUCCACCCUUCCUUCCUGUGCCCUUGACUUUGAGACAUCCUCGGAGAGUAGCCUAUCCUCCUCUGCCUAUGGCUGGGAAGUCCUUCCUCAGGUCCCCGGUCAGAUCCUCUAGCUGCAGGUGUGCCUGUUUCCCCUACCCUCCCCCAUUUGCUUUACAACAAGAAUAACUCAGCUCUGUAACAGGACAAUUAUCUGUGCUUCUCCUUGUCUUAGGAAAGCUUCACAGAGCUACUAAUGAAUCUCCAUCAUUAUCUUUAACAAGCGUGCUGGAGGCUGCAGGCUGCUCCCCAGGCUCUGCGGCUCACACGCACAGGUCUGACUCAGCCGCAGCUCCCAGGCUGGAUCUUCUGAGGACCUCUGGGAAUGGCCAGAGUGGCUCCUCUGGGUUUUCCCUCCCACUUGUCAAGAUGCCUGAGAUUCCACCAUUAUAGGUUCACUCUUUGGGGAGAAGGUACUGCUGACCCCUUAAAUAAUGCUCUGCCUCUGUGGUCACUCAUGAAGCAAUGAGUCACCGGAAUGGGUAGGAGCCAGGGCUGGUCUCGAGCUUUCUAUCCUAGCUCAAGAGGAACUCAGGGAGGGGGCCCUGAGCUCAGAAUCAGCUGGAGAGGGACCGCUUAGUGCCAGGCAAUGAAUUCUUUAACUGCUCUCUUAGCCACCCUUCCCUAAGGAGGCCCAGAACUGACCAAGGGCAGGGUAAGAACAGAAGAGGAGGGCUGGCUCCAGAUGGGAAGAGGGGAGAGUAGGAAGGGUGACAAGGUGAGCCAAGCCUGGGUAUGCAGAUGGCAGAGGGUAGAGUUGGAAGGAAGCUUGGAAGUCCUUGCACAGAUGGGGAAACUGAGGCAGGGAGUUCCCAGAGGUCACACGGGAAAUUAGCAAGAAAGGUGGGAUGGGGGCUGUGGUCUCUGGCCAUGAAGUGACCCAUUUCCUACCAAGGAGAGGCAUUUCUCAUUGGCAGGAGCAGGUCUGUGAACUCCCAGGUGGCUGAGCACCAUCUCCUGUUGCUGGGAGGGGCGUGGGAUUCAAGGAGCUGCCAGAUGGGGUCGGAUGGGGUUUGGCCAUCCUAGGAGAGAGAGAGAGAGAGAAAAGGAGAGAGACAGAGACAGAGAGACAGAGAGAGGAGAGGAAGGGGAAAGAGAAAGCGUGGAGAGAGGGGGGAGAAGGAGAUUCAGGUCAGAGAAGAUGAAGGAGAGACGGAGGGAGGUGGGCCUGGGCGGGGU